Molecule: ribosomal RNA, 270 nt
Filed under: uncultured bacterium
Lineage: Bacteria
Description: partial 16S ribosomal RNA
Rfam family: Bacterial small subunit ribosomal RNA
Source: RNAcentral
CCUACGGGAGGCAGCAGUAAGGAAUAUUGGUCAAUGGGCGCAAGCCUGAACCAGCCAUGCCGCGUGCAGGAUGACGGCCCUCUGGGUUGUAAAACUGCUUUAUACGGGAAGAACAGCAUCUACGUGUAGGUGUUUGACGGUACCGUAAGAAUAAGGACCGGCUAACUUCGUGCCAGCAGCCGCGGUAAUACGAAGGGUCCAAGCGUUAUCCGGAUUUAUUGGGUUUAAAGGGUGCGUAGGCGGCUUUUUAAGUCAGUGGUGAAAGACCUG